AGCCCAGCGCCUCCGGCCUCACAUCCAGCUCUCUGCGCAGCCCGCCGCGCAGCCCGCCGCCCCAGCCAUGGCGAAGCCCCUGACUGACCAGGAGAAGCGGCGGCAGAUCAGCAUCCGCGGCAUCGUGGGCGUGGAGAACGUGGCAGAGCUGAAGAAGAGCUUCAACCGGCACCUGCACUUCACGCUGGUCAAGGACCGCAACGUGGCCACCACCCGCGACUACUACUUCGCGCUGGCGCACACGGUGCGCGACCACCUGGUGGGGCGCUGGAUCCGCACGCAGCAGCACUACUACGACAAGUGCCCCAAGAGGGUUUAUUACCUCUCUCUGGAAUUUUACAUGGGCCGAACAUUACAGAACACCAUGAUCAACCUCGGUCUGCAAAAUGCCUGUGAUGAGGCCAUUUACCAGCUUGGAUUGGAUAUAGAAGAGUUAGAAGAAAUUGAAGAAGAUGCUGGACUUGGCAAUGGUGGUCUUGGGAGACUUGCUGCCUGCUUCUUGGAUUCCAUGGCAACCCUGGGACUUGCAGCCUAUGGAUAUGGCAUUCGGUAUGAAUAUGGGAUUUUCAAUCAGAAGAUCCGAGAUGGAUGGCAGGUAGAAGAAGCAGAUGAUUGGCUCAGAUAUGGAAACCCUUGGGAGAAGUCCCGCCCAGAAUUCAUGCUGCCUGUGCACUUCUAUGGAAAAGUAGAACACACCAACACCGGGACCAAGUGGAUUGACACUCAGGUAUUCAGAGUGCUCGUAUAGCCAUCAUUUUGUAUAGUAUUUAGUACAGUAGCUAAUACAUUGACUAUGUAGCAUAUAGUGGUGAUAUUGAAUACAGGGCAUGUCGUGUAUUGAAUAAUAGAAUAUAUUUUUGUAAAUAAAUCUGUUACUUCUCUUAGCACAGCCCACUCAUUUUGGAGACAAGGGAGCUGAGGCCAAGAGAGGAGUGACUUUUAUAAGGGUCAUUUUGCAACCAGCUUUGUCAGAAAAUUGUCAGUUCUUUUUUUUUUUUUUUUUGCCAGAAAGUUGUCAGUUCUAUAGUAACCAGCAUGCUUACCUCUUUGGUUUUAUAUUAAGGUGUUGAUAGCAAAAUUGAAUAAUUUUAAAUGUCAUUCCUGGCUGGGUGCGGUGGCUCACAACUGUAAUCCCAGCACUUUGGGAAGCCGAAGCGGGCAGAUCACCUGAGGUCAGGAGUUCAAGACCAGCCUGGCCAACAUGGUGAAUCCCUAUCUCUACUAAAAAUACAAAAAUCAGCCCGGAGUGGUGGCCCAUGCCUGUAGUCCCAGCUACUUGGGAGGCUGAGGCAGGAGAAUCGCUUGAACCCAGGAGGUGGAGGUUGCAGUGAGCCGAGAUCAUGUCGCUGCACUCCAGCCUGGGCAACAGAGUGAGACUCCGUCUCAAAAAAAAUAAAAUAAAAUAAAAUAAAAUAAAAUAAAAAUAAAAGUAUGCAGUUUACACAAUCAAUCCUGGAAGCAUUU
Molecule: small RNA, 1464 nt
Filed under: Pongo abelii (Sumatran orangutan)
Lineage: Eukaryota; Metazoa; Chordata; Mammalia; Primates; Hominidae
Description: retained intron
Source: RNAcentral